GAUGAACGCUGGCGGCGUGCCUAACACAUGCAAGUCGAGCGAACAGACGAGGAGCUUGCUCCUCUGACGUUUGCGGCGCAGGGGUGAGUAACAUGUGGAUAACCUACCUAUAAGACUGGGAUCACUUCGGGACAGCGGAGCUAACACCGGAUAACAUCGUGAACCACAUGGUUCAACAGUGAAAUACGGCCUUGCGGUCAGUUAUAGAUGGAUCCGCGCCGCAUUAGCUAGUUGGUAAGGUAAGGGCUUACCAAGGCGACGAUGCGUAGCCGAGCUGAGAGGGUGAUCGGCCACACUGGAACUGAGACACGGUCCAGACUCCUACGGGAGGCAGCAGUAGGGAAUCUUCGGCAAUGGGCGAAAGCCUGACGGAGCAACGCCGCGUGAGUGAAGAAGGUCUUCGGAUCGUAAAGCUCUGUUAUUAGGGAAGAACAAAUGUGUAAUUAACUGUGCACGGCUUGACGGUACCUGAUCAGAAAGCAACGGCUAACUACGUG
This 497-nucleotide ribosomal RNA is filed under the name uncultured bacterium. Its description in RNAcentral is "partial 16S ribosomal RNA". It matches the Rfam family "Bacterial small subunit ribosomal RNA", at positions 28 to 507 of the family's 1533-position model. The record is from RNAcentral.